Perognathus longimembris pacificus (Pacific pocket mouse) is the source of this 838-nucleotide long non-coding RNA. RefSeq lists it as uncharacterized. The record is from RefSeq and is a predicted model, not a curated record. Lineage: Eukaryota; Metazoa; Chordata; Mammalia; Rodentia; Heteromyidae. The transcript has 3 exons.
GAUUUUCGGUGCACUGUGGGAAAACUUUAUCCAUCCUGCCUUGAAGAAUCAUCAUGGAAACCACCAACUUACCUUUUCUCACCAGAUGGGACAGAGGAGUUUGAGUUGGAUGGAGAGAUGGUUGCACUCCCUCCUGUAUAGUUGAGUUGAGGGAGUAAUGCCUGGUUCCCUUCCUUCAUUAAGCAACAUGCUAGGAGAGGACCAGACAGGGAGUACAUGAAAGUCUAUCUUUGAUAAAUUUUAUUUUUAUGCCCUACUUAUUUGCUUCAGUAUAGUAUAUAUCAGUGAGUCUUACAGAAAGAUGUGCUUCCAUCAUAGGAGCUAGGUGAGUCAGUCCUUGAGAGCCUCUAAUGUGUACUCUGACAGCAGAGGAAUGAACAGCUAAUGAAUGCUCUUAACCCUGUGCAUGUACAGUUCAAAGUUCACUUAGAGAAGUAGCUUCCUUUCUAGGGUGGGACAUCACAGACUGUGCUGAGAUUAUUUAGUAUAUCUCAUUCCUGUGCUUUGUCCUGAAGUUCUGGAAUACAUUUUUCCAGUAACUAACCAGCUGUGCUUAAUGCUGAUGUCCCCAUUUGUGUAGCAGUGUGGUCCAUGUCCUCCGCUGUAGUUGAGAACACUCCAUAAUUUUGUGGUAUUACACAGGAAAGGUACGACUGCAGAACGAGUCUAUCCAAUUAGGUGCAUAUAUCCUCUCUCCAUUAACUGUCUGUCUAGAAUACAGGUCGUCCAGCCAACUGGCCAUAUAGCAGGCACAUGAACUUAGUUUCUGGGCUUGCAGUGAGAAUUGUGCGGGUCUGUGGCGCUUUCAUGAAAGGUGAAGAGUUGUAACAGAUAGUGU